CCCUUAGAUGUUCUGGGCCGCACGCGUGCUACACUGAGUGGAUCAGCGGGUCAGGUUGCGCGAAAGCGUUUCCUAAUCUUUAAAUCCGCUCGUGAUGGGGAUUGACGGUUGCAAUUUUCUGUCAUGAACGAGGAAUGCCUUGUAAGCGCGGGUCAUCAUCCCGCGCUGAAUACGUCCCUGCCCUUUGUACACACCGCCCGUCGCUCCUACCGAUUGAGUGGUCCGGUGAGGCUUUGGGAUCUGAGCGGAAAGAGCGUUUCGCUGUUUCUGCUCGGAAAACUCAGUCGAACCUUAUCAUUUAGAGGAAGGAGAAGUCGUAACA
Molecule: ribosomal RNA, 322 nt
Filed under: uncultured eukaryote
Lineage: Eukaryota
Description: partial 18S ribosomal RNA
Rfam family: Eukaryotic small subunit ribosomal RNA
Source: RNAcentral